This 28-nucleotide non-coding RNA is filed under the name Rattus norvegicus (Norway rat). The record is from RNAcentral. Lineage: Eukaryota; Metazoa; Chordata; Mammalia; Rodentia; Muridae.
UGAGAUAAGUUUGAGUAUCUUUAAGGGA